Neopelma chrysocephalum (saffron-crested tyrant-manakin) is the source of this 462-nucleotide long non-coding RNA. RefSeq lists it as uncharacterized. The record is from RefSeq and is a predicted model, not a curated record. The transcript has 3 exons. NCBI's taxonomy places the organism in Eukaryota, Metazoa, Chordata, Aves, Passeriformes, Pipridae.
GGUUUUGGGGGUGCUGACCCCCCCGGCUCCCCCCAGAGAUGCCACCGGACACCGUCCGCAGCAAGAUCCUGGUGGGGGUCGGGGGCUUCGUCUUGGGCUUGGUCUUCCUGGCGCUGGGGCUCGGCUUCUACCUGCGGGAGAAGAGCUUCUGAGCCACCGGCGGCCGCAGCCCCUCCCUGUGGCCUCGGGCCCAGCCGGGACCCCCCGGUCCCUCCCCACGCUGAGUUUGGGGGGUCGUGUGUCCCCCCCAGCCCUGCUUUUAUUCUGACCCCAGUCGGCUGCUCCCAGUGUUCCCAGUAAAGCUUCCCAGUUCUCCCCAGUCGUUUUGUUCUGGGCCUGCUCAUCUGGCUGUUUGCUGGUUCCCGUUUGCCUUCGUUUCCUGCGUCCUGUUCUGCCCCCAGCCCGGACCUGCUCGGACUUCAUGGGAGAGGUUUGACCCCCCUACAGAGGAACCUUUUCUGC